Nasonia vitripennis (jewel wasp) is the source of this 2615-nucleotide long non-coding RNA. RefSeq lists it as uncharacterized. The transcript is spliced from 2 exons. NCBI's taxonomy places the organism in Eukaryota, Metazoa, Arthropoda, Insecta, Hymenoptera, Pteromalidae. The record is from RefSeq and is a predicted model, not a curated record.
CGGAUCGCUAAACAUCAGAGAAAAUCGGCUAUUAGUUUCUGGUUAGUCACAACGGAGCAUAGAUGUUUAUAUUAUAGCAUUUAGUCAUUCCUUUGUACACUUAGUAUUUAGACGCGGUAUAUACACAUCGAGACAUUGCUGUGGUUGUUAAUAAAUAAUCUUAAGGUAUAAAUCGAAUAUAAUUAGUUAGAUCGUUAUUCGGUAUUGUGAUUUGUAGAUUAUAUAUUAUGUGAUAGCAUCGUCGUGUCGUCCUAUGUGGGGUUUACCUCUUCACCUUUGGAGUGUCGGCACUAUGAUUAAUGCGCAAUUCCAGCACUGCCUAUUUUAAAAUCUACGUUAUAUACUAAUAAGCUUAGCACUAAGAAGAUGCAUCGGAGAGUGUCCACAGGGUAAUACUGUAAUUGUCGUAUACGUAUAAAUGUGUUGUUAAGCUCAUGCACCAUGCCAACGCUAUUGCAGUGAUUAAUAAAUUGUAUGAAAUUUCGUUAUAUUAUACUGUUGAGUAUAAAUUAUUGAUUAUUCUGUAUGUUUGUCCGCUGCCCGAUUACGGGAAGCAACGCCGCUAUCCCUCUAUUAGUGACAGUUAGGUAAUCUGCAAAUUACGAAAAGACUAUGGUUUUUUGCGCCCAAACUAUGUCUUACUUUAUUGCUGGGAAGGAAAUUUCCACUUCGUACGUAUCACUGCCUUGGCGAGCUUGUCUCGUUCUAUGGUGCAAGAAAUUUCUCAGUUUUAUGAAACUGUGUUUGUACAUUUUUUUUUGCUUUUGCAAAGAUAAUAUGCAUAUUUAUAUUUUGCAAAAUGAUAACAAGUGUAACUGCUGUUUCGAGCAGUAAUUUACAAUUUACAUGUAACGAUUGAGAACGUGAAUAUAGACAAAAACACUUACGGCUCGGCAAGUACGUCAACAGAGAUCGUGUAAGUUCCGGCAUCGUCUUCAGUCGACGCCUGUCUGGCGGUUCGUGCACGAUGGUCACACUGAACGUUGAUGUUCAAGUCUCUGCACUCCCGGGUUCCUACGAUACGUACCGUUAGUAAUAAUACAAACAAAGCGAAUAGAUAACACUUUUACCUUCGAAUAAAAACUUACCUUCGAAUGAGUUAGAACAGAAGUUCCAGUCCCUGUUUAACGAGUUGACAGCGUGUCUGACCUUCUGUUUCAGCACCUCUUGUCCAGCCUCAUUACAGAGUACAGACGUAGGAAAGUUCAUUCUGAUUUUAAAUACACGUUGAGCGGGAGAAGCGCCUAAAGUUAAAUUUAGUUGAUUAAAAUAAUCCUGAAUUAGAUGAUCACGCAAAUAUUUAAAGAUAAAACUUAUUCUUACUUGUACAAGCAGGGUAGACAAGUGGCAGGCCGGGGUUGUUGGUUGGCCGCCAGAAACCUUCAGCUCCGCAAGUGUAGAACUUGGGCACCUCUUGCGCAAACCUAAGUCCAGCAUUGCAAGAAAUCUCGCAAACCUUGAACUGACCGCCCGCGCCCCAGUCCUUGCAUUGCUGCAUUCCACCAAUAGGAUCAGUUACAGCUGGCAGAGUUUCCAGCCUGAUCGUAAGCCACAUAGCUGAUGUCGUAUGAUCCCCACAGAAGCGUCUGUCCAGAUCUGUGUCCACUCUUCUCCUGAACCCUGACAACGCCAACGUUGUCACUGAACUUCGGCUCGUCCCACGUAACGAUUGACGAUCCAUUCUUGGCAAUGACCCACAGGUCACCAGGGCAGUGUUCGAUCUUAGGUGGUAUCUUGUCGGACUCCAACUGUUGGCACUUGCUGCCACCAUAACCUGGUGGGCAGACUCGCUGACCACAGUGCGAUGGUGCGAUUCGCUCGACUCCACCAACGGUUUCGUCGUAGCCGGCCCAGGUGAGCACGAGACCUUGGUAGAGGACUGGCUCGGUACGGCAGUCGCGGACUUGUUUCUGGAUUUCGUUGGUCACGUGAAGAGCUCGCUCCCAGAUUUGAACCUUGGUAAGGUGACCUUGAAAGCCAGACUCCGUAUAGCCUUUGCCAACUUCGCUGCGUGGCUUACCCAGGACAGCCCAGGCGCUAAAAAUUUGAAGAAUUGAUUGUUUUAAUUUUAUUCGAUACUCUCGUUGAAUUUUUAUUAUCAUUUAUUAACUUCAAUCACUUACUAUGAGGGUAGAGUUCUUCCGCUACCGUAGCCUUCGGUCUUGCUGGCAAUCAGACCUUCCGUGAUGAGAGUCAAUUCACCGCCGUUUUCACCGUUCCAAAUAACGGCGAUGUGAUGCCAUUGUCCGUCGUUUAUAGUGGCGUAUUCCCUGAAUGGUAAGUACACGUCUUGCAGAUCGUGGAAGAUCGAAACUUGAACACCGUUGCUAUGAGCUUGCAUCAUUGGUCUACGGUUGGUAGGAACGUGAGGAGAGCUGACGGCAUACAGGGUGAAGAAGAUGCCAGCCUCGUCGCGCUGAGUGAAUUGCACCCACAUAGCGAUGGUCAAACUCUUCUUGGCUCCAGUGAAGAAUGGAAUCACUUGCAUCGCACUGCUGCGAGUUGGGUCGCUGAAGUAGAGGUCGUAGUCGACUUGGAUGGCUGUGGAAUCACGAAAUAACGAUUUAUUUGUGAAAAUUAAAACAGAGUAAUAAAGCUUAACAACAACUGUGUUA